This 200-nucleotide ribosomal RNA is filed under the name uncultured bacterium. RNAcentral's name for it is "partial 16S ribosomal RNA". It matches the Rfam family "Bacterial small subunit ribosomal RNA", at positions 1302 to 1500 of the family's 1533-position model. The record is from RNAcentral.
AGUCUGCAACCCGGCCUACAUGAAGCUGGAAUCGCUAGUAAUCGCGGAUCAGAAUGCCGCGGUGAAUACGUUCCCGGGUCUUGUACACACCGCCCGUCACACCAUGGGAGCCGGAAAUGCCCGAAGUCAGUGACCCAACCGCAAGGAGGGAGCUGCCGAAGGUGGAGCUGGUAACUGGGGUGAAGUCGUAACAAGGUAGC